GACGAACGCUGGCGGCGUGCUUAACACAUGCAAGUCGAACGGCAAGGCCCUGCUUUUGUGCGGUUCUCGAUUGCCGAUCGCGUGCGUAUCACGUAAGUAACCUGCCCUUGUCUUUGGGAUAACUUCAGGAAACUGGACCUAAUCCCGGAUAGGAUCUCCUGCUGCAUGGUGGGGGUUGGAAAGUUUGGGCUGUUGGGGUUGGACUGGCGGCUUAUCAGCUAGUUAGUGGGGGAGUGGCUGACCAAGGCUUUGACGGGUAGCCGGCCUGAGAGGGUGACCGGCGACAUUGGGACUGAGGGACGGCGCAGAGGGGAACGGUGGGCAGCAGGGGGGAAUAUUGCACAGUCGGAGGACGCCGGAUGCAGAAGCGCUGCGGGUGGGAAGACCUUUUGCUGGGAGAGAACAGCUGCAGCUUGAGACGCAGCGGGUGUGACGGUACCGAAAAAAUAAGCACCGGCUAACUUCGUG
RNAcentral lists this ribosomal RNA (468 nucleotides) under uncultured bacterium. RNAcentral describes it as "partial 16S ribosomal RNA". It matches the Rfam family "Bacterial small subunit ribosomal RNA", at positions 28 to 507 of the family's 1533-position model. The record is from RNAcentral.